AAAGAGGCAUUAUUUUCAUUCGAGGACGUUCCUUCCUCUUUGCCUCCUGCUGUCACUAACAUUUUGCAGGAGUUCGCUGACGUUUUUCCACAAGACGUGCCACCGGGAUUACCGCCUAUUCGAGGGAUUGAGCAUCAGAUUGACUUAAUUCCCGGUGCUUCACUGCCAAACCGUGCACCAUACCGUACCAAUCCAGAGGAGACGAAGGAGAUUAUGCGUCAAGUACAAGAGCUUCUCGACAAAGGUUAUAUACGCGAAUCCCUUAGUCCUUGUGCUGUUCCUAUUAUUCUAGUGCCGAAAAAGGAUGGUACAUCACGUAUGUGUGUUGAUUGUAGAGGCAUUAAUAAUAUUACUAUUCGUUAUCGUCAUCCUAUUCCUAGGCUAGAUGAUAUGCUUGAUGAAUUGAGUGGCUCUACAAUAUUCUCCAAAGUUCAUUUGCGUAGUGGCUACCAUCAAAUUCGUAUGAAAUUGGGAGAUGAAUGGAAAACAACAUUUAAAACUAAGUUUGGAUUAUAUGAGUGGUUAGUCAUGCCUUUUGGGUUAACUAAUGCACCUAGUACUUUCAUGAGACUAAUGAACGAAGUUUUACGUGCUUUCAUUGGACGAUUUGUGGUAGUCUAUUUUGAUGAUAUACUGAUUUAUAGCAGAUCUUUGGAAGAACAUUUGGAACAUUUACGUGCUGUUUUUAUUGCUCUACGUGAUGCACGUUUGUUUGGUAACCUUGGGAAGUGCACCUUUUGCACCGACCGAGUAUCUUUUCUUGGCUAUGUUGUUACUCCACAGGGAAUUGAAGUUGACAAAGCCAAGAUUGAAGCUAUUGAGAGUUGGCCGCAGCCCAAAACGGUCACACAAGUGAGGAGUUUUCUUGGCCUCGCUGGAUUCUAUAGGCGUUUUGUGAGAGAUUUCAGCACCAUUGCUGCACCUCUCAACGAGCUUACAAAGAAGGAUGUGCCUUUUGUUUGGGGUACCGCACAGGAAGAAGCCUUCACGGUAUUGAAAGAUAAGUUGACACAUGCUCCUUUACUCCAACUUCCUGAUUUUAAUAAGACUUUUGAGCUUGAAUGUGAUGCUAGUGGAAUUGGAUUAGGAGGUGUGUUAUUACAAGAUGGCAAACCUGUUGCAUACUUUUCUGAAAAAUUGAGUGGGCCUAGUCUGAAUUAUUCUACUUAUGAUAAAGAAUUAUAUGCUCGUGUUCGGACUUUAGAAACAUGGCAACAUUAUUUAUGGCCCAAAGAAUUUGUUAUACAUUCUGAUCAUGAAUCUUUGAAACAUAUUAAAAGUCAAGCUAAACUGAAUCGUAGACAUGCUAAAUGGGUUGAAUUCAUUGAGACUUUCCCUUAUGUCAUUAAACACAAGAAGGGAAAAGAAAAUGUUAUUGCUGAUGCAUUGUCUCGUCGCUAUACUAUGCUUUCACAACUUGACUUCAAAAUAUUUGGUUUAGAGACCAUCAAAGAUCAAUAUGUGCAUGAUGCUGAUUUUAAAGAUGUAAUGCAUAAUUGUAAAGAAGGAAGAAUGUGGAACAAGUUUGUUGUUAACGAUGGAUUUGUGUUUCGUGCUAACAAGCUAUGCAUUCCAGCUAGCUCCGCUCGUCUUUUGUUAUUGCAGGAGGCGCAUGGAGGAGGAUUAAUGGGACACUUUGGCGUGAAGAAGACGGAGGACGUACUUGCUACACAUUUCUUUUGGCCAAAGAUGAGACGGGAUGUUGAGCGUUUUAUUGCUCGCUGCACUACAUGUCAAAAAGCUAAGUCACGACUCAAUCCUCAUGGUUUAUAUAUGCCUUUGCCUGUACCUAGUGUUCCUUGGGAGGAUAUAUCUAUGGACUUUGUUUUAGGUUUACCUCGAACAAAGAAGGGGAGGGAUAGCAUAUUUGUUGUCGUGGAUAGAUUCUCGAAAAUGGCACACUUUAUACCAUGUCAUAAAAGCGAUGAUGCUGUUAAUGUUGCUGAUUUGUUCUUUCGUGAAAUUAUUCGCUUGCAUGGUGUGCCCAAUACUAUUGUUUCAGAUCGUGAUACUAAAUUUCUUAGCCACUUUUGGAGAUGUUUAUGGGCUAAGUUGGGGACUAAACUGCUUUUUAGUACUACUUGUCACCCCCAAACUGAUGGACAAACUGAAGUAGUCAAUAGAAUGUUGUCUACUAUGCUUAGGGCUGUUUUGAAGAAUAAUAAGAAAAUGUGGGAGGAAUGCUUGCCUCAUAUUGAAUUUGCUUAUAAUCGUUCAUUGCAUUCUACUACUAAGAUGUGCCCUUUUGAAGUUGUGUAUGGUUUCCUACCUCGUGCACCUAUUGAUUUGUUGCCUCUUCCAUCUUCGGAGAAGGUUAAUUUUGAUGCUAAACAACGUGCUGAAUUGAUUUUAAAAAUGCAUGAGUUAACUAAGGAAAACAUUGAGCGUAUGAAUGCUAAAUAUAAACUUGCUGGAGAUAAGGGUAGAAAACAUGUUGUGUUUGCACCUGGAGAUCUUGUUUGGUUACAUUUGCGUAAGGAUAGAUUUCCUGAUUUACGCAAAUCAAAGCUAAUGCCACGUGCUGAUGGUCCCUUUAAGGUGUUAGAGAAAAUAAAUGAUAAUGCAUAUAAACUUGAGCUGCCUGCAGAUUUUGGGGUUAGUCCCACUUUUAACAUUGCAGAUUUGAAGCCUUAUUUGGGAGAGGAAGAU
Molecule: ribosomal RNA, 2649 nt
Filed under: Triticum aestivum (bread wheat)
Lineage: Eukaryota; Viridiplantae; Streptophyta; Magnoliopsida; Poales; Poaceae
Description: partial small subunit ribosomal RNA
Source: RNAcentral